RNAcentral lists this ribosomal RNA (492 nucleotides) under uncultured bacterium. Its description in RNAcentral is "partial 16S ribosomal RNA". It matches the Rfam family "Bacterial small subunit ribosomal RNA", at positions 29 to 507 of the family's 1533-position model. The record is from RNAcentral.
AGUGAACGCUGGCGGUAGGCCUAACACAUGCAAGUCGAACGGCAGCACAGUAAGAGCUUGCUCUUCCGGGUGGCGAGUGGCGGACGGGUGCGGAAUACAUCGGCAUCUACUUUUUCGUGGGGGAUAACGUAGGGAAACUUACGCUAAUACCUCAUACGACCUACGGGUGAAAGCAGGGGAUCUUCGGACCUUGCGCGGUUGAAUGAGCCGAUGUCGGAUUAGCUAGUUGGCGGGGUAAAGGCCCACCAAGGCGACGAUCCGUAGCUGGUCUGAGAGGAUGAUCAGCCACACUGGAACUGAGACACGGUCCAGACUCCUACGGGAGGCAGCAGUGGGGAAUAUUGGACAAUGGGCGAAAGCCUGACCCAGCCAUACCGCGUGGGUGAAGAAGGCCUUCGGGUUGUAAAGCCCUUUUGUUGGGAAAGAAAAGCAGCAGGUUAAUACCCCGCUGUUCUGACGGUACCCAAAGAAUAAGCACCGGCUAACUUCGUG